CAGAAGCAGCCAUCCAUUCAAAGAGUGCGUAAUAGCUCACUGGUCGAGAGGUCCUGCGCCGAAAAUGUCCGGGGCUGAAACGCGCCACCGAAACUAAGGAACCGAAAGGUUGGUAGAGGAGCAUUGCAUGCGGAACGAAGCAGUACCGUAAGGAGCUGUGGACUGCAUGGAAGAGAGAAUGCCGGAAUGAGUAGCGAGAUAGAGGUGGGAAUCCUCUAGGCCGAAUAUCCAAGGUUUCCAGAGUAAAGCUGAUCUGCUCUGGGUAAGUCGGGGCCUAAGGCGAGGACGAGAGUCGUAGCCGAUGGACAACAGGUGGAGAUUCCUGUACUGCGGUAUGACAGAACUGUGGGGACACGUAAGGAAAGCGGAAGCCGGGAAUGGAAAGCCCGGUGCAAGCGGGGUACCAGUCACUUUGGCAAAUCCGGGUGGCAAUGGGAAGCCGUGAUGCGGAGCGAAAUAAAGUAGCGAAGUCCGUGAGCCAUGCGUCAAGAAAAGCCGCUAUUGUUUAUACCGUACCCGUACCGUAAACCGACACAGGUGGAUGAGGAGAGAAUCCUAAGGCCGGCGGAAGAAGCAUUGUCAAGGAACUCGGCAAAAUGACCCCGUAACUUCGGGAGAAGGGGUGCCUGCGAGAGCAGGCCGCAGAGAAUAGGCUCAAGCAACUGUUUAGCAAAAACACAGGUCUAUGCGAAACCGAAAGGUGAGGUAUAUGGGCUGACGCCUGCCCGGUGCUGGAAGGUUAAGAGGAGAGGUUAGCGCAAGCGAAGCUUUGAAUUUAAGCCCCAGUAAACGGCGGCCGUAACUAUAACGGUCCUAAGGUAGCGAAAUUCCUUGUCGGGUAAGUUCCGACCCGCACGAAAGGCGUAAUGAUUUGAGCGCUGUCUCAACAAUGCACCCGGUGAAAUUGAAAUACCAGUGAAGAUGCUGGUUACCCGCGCCAGGACGGAAAGACCCCAUGGAGCUUUACUCCAGCUUGAUACUGGGAUUCGGUACUGCAUGUACAGGAUAGGUGGGAGGCUUUGAAUCAUGGACGCCAGUCUGUGAGGAGCCGCUGUUGGGAUACCACCCUUGCGGUAUUGGAUUUCUAACCUGCAGCCAUGACCUGGCUGGGGGACAAUGUCAGGCGGGGAGUUUGACUGGGGCGGUCGCCUCCGAAAGGGUAUCGGAGGCGCUCAAAGGUUCCCUCAUAAUGGUUGGAAACCAUUAGAAGAGUGCAAAGGCAUAAGGGAGCUUGACUGCGACACCGACGGGUGGAGCAGGUACGAAAGUAGGACUUAGUGAUCCGGUGGUAUGAAAGUGGGAUUGCCAUCGCUCAACGGAUAAAAGCUACCCUGGGGAUAACAGGCUUAUCACUCCCAAGAGUUCACAUCGACGGAGUGGUUUGGCACCUCGAUGUCGGCUCAUCGCAUCCUGGGGCUGUAGCAGGUCCCAAGGGUUGGGCUGUUCGCCCAUUAAAGCGGUACGCGAGCUGGGUUCAGAACGUCGUGAGACAGUUCGGUCCCUAUCCGGCGCGGGCGUAGGAUAUUUGAGAGGAGCUGUCCUUAGUACGAGAGGACCGGGAUGGACAGACCGCUGGUGUACCUGUUGGCCUACCAAGGCCAUGGCAGGGUAGCCAAGUCUGGACGGGAUAAACGCUGAAGGCAUCUAAGCGUGAAGCCCCCCUCAAGAUGAGAUAUCCCAUCGCAAGAGUAAGACCCCUUGAAGACGACGAGGUAGAUAGGUCAGAGGUGGAAGUGCAGCAAUGCAUGGAGCUGACUGAUACUAAUCGGUCGAGGGCUUGACCAG
This 1785-nucleotide ribosomal RNA is filed under the name human gut metagenome. RNAcentral's name for it is "bacterial LSU rRNA". It matches the Rfam family "Bacterial large subunit ribosomal RNA", at positions 1107 to 2925 of the family's 2925-position model. The record is from RNAcentral.